AUUUUUUUUAAUGGAAAACUUUUAAAUAAUAAUGACAGUAAUAAUAAAUAAGGGAGAGAGAACUAUUGCCUAGCAGAUUUUGUCUGAUUUUAAAUGGUUUUUGUCAUUUGAUUCUCAUUUAAGUUCCAUUCACGAUAUGAAGCCUAAGAAUUUUUAAUUUUAUAUUUGAUGUAUUUGGGUACUGGGAAUAAAUUUGGAGAAUAUAUUGGGGAAUCAUUGAAGUGGUUUUAUUUUAUUCGAUCAAUUUCUUGGUUUUGCCCCUGUUUGGUGACAAGGAGCAGCCAAAAUUGCUUCUGUUAUUACUGUCAGACGAUUAGACUUACUUAAUGGAGAUGUGUGGUUGUAUGUUAUAGCUGCUGACGUAAAAACGAAUCACA
RNAcentral lists this unclassified non-coding RNA (377 nucleotides) under Hevea brasiliensis (rubber tree). The record is from RNAcentral. Lineage: Eukaryota; Viridiplantae; Streptophyta; Magnoliopsida; Malpighiales; Euphorbiaceae.